GAGAAAAGGAGAGAGAGCGGAACAGGAGGAGGAAGGAAGGAGGGACAAGGGAAUUAUGACCGUUCUCACUCAAAUUGAGCGUUAACACACACACACUCCGAGAUUGAUGGAAUAUUAGCUGUUUGCACGCACAGAAACGGACACACACACACACACAGUGAGGCGUAGCGGUGGGGGUGUUUUGUUUGCUAGCUCAUGAGUUGAAACAUUUUGAUAUAGGAUUUUAUUAGGCACAGAGAUUUAGUGCCUCCAUGGUAGGGGCCCUUGGGGGAGUGCAUCCGUUAACUGUAAAUGUAGGGAAAUUUACCCAUUUCGGGAUAGUCGCCAGCCUAAUGAAACUCAAUGUGUCCUCUUUAGAUUCACUGAGUCCAUUUUUCCUCCUACUCGCUCUCUAGCUUCCUCUUAUAAUCUAUUUUUCUUCCCCGUUCAUUCUGUUCCACCUGCUCCCUUUUCAUCGUCUUCCUCCCUCCUUGCCUUCCUCUCACAGAUUUGUUAUGCUGCUAAAGCCAGUCUGUUUUAUAGUUCUCAUGGGUCACUGUUUGCUUCUAUGUCUCUUUGCUCUCUCUCGCUCUCUUCUUCCGCCCUCCAUUAUUCAUCUGUUAUGCUACUGCCAUUCUGCAGUACACUUCUCAAAUUGGCCCUUUCCUAAAUUAGCCAUCAAUGGUGAUAAAGAUUUGGACUUGUGGUUUUACUUAAUUCUCCAUACUAGCCAAAGAUUAUAACGCCGAUUCUGAUCCAACCAUAAAUUCAUACGUUGUGCCCCCGGCCUGAGAGGAUGUUCAAUAUAUAGCUAGAUGUAGGCUACCAUGGACAGCCACAUGCUAUUUAGCUUAUGUUGAUUGGACUAAAUAGUUUUUGGUAUCUUUUAGUUGUCACUGUAUUAGACUAAGCAUAGGUCAUUUGAUAAUGUUGAAAUCUUGAAGUUUAAAUGAUGCUGGAAUAGUGGAGGCAGCUCCUGUUUUCUUUGCGACUUGCGGUAGCCUAAUUCUCCGUGGUUCUAAAUCAAUAGUUGUUUAGUAGUCUGAAAAUGUUGGCAAGAUGAACUUGCUUGACCAUGCUGUAUGUCAUACAACUGUUUGUUACAUGCAAUAUGCUUUGUGAACUUCAACGGACAGAUGUUGCUCUCCGGUUUUAUGAUGAAACAAAGGUGUGGUUGAAUUUAUUCAGCCACUGUGUCUUCUUAUAGUCUCGGCCUUAGGCCUAUGUACAGGGGUGAAAAUAGAAUACAUUUCUUCCCGGUGUGGGACCUCCCCAAAAUGUUUAUGGGCCAAUCAUAGAAUUACAUAUAGAAUCACUAUUAAUUCAAUAGGAUCUCUAUAGGCCUAGUCGUAAAGAUUUGUUAUUCAACUUUUAAAAUGUAUUACCUUUUAUUGUGCCAUAAAAACAAACAGUCAUGAUAUUUUCAUCUGAUUGUCAAACAAUCACUUCAAAGGGAUCCUUUACUAGGCUGCCCGUGCACAUUCAUCCACUCGCAAAAUAUUUCCAGUCUCCAAACAGUGGUGAAGAUACAUCUGUUACACAAAACACCAAAAAGUGUAGUCAUUAGGCCAGAAUUUAUGCGUUCACUGUUGUCUGUGCACGUCUCGGUGUCAGCCACUUGUUAGGGUUCGUUUCCUUAUCAAUCAGUUACUCAUUAGUGAAAUUAGCAUUAUGACAAUAUCUUUAAUUAAAUCAUUCAAAAACCUUUAUUAAUGCAAUUGCAGACAGAAGUUGACAAACAGGAACAUUGCACGAAUGUUGCUGAGUAAGUUCUGCAUCAAACAAAAGGUCUCCAGUUGUUUUAUUAAACCCUAAGUCGCGCCCUGGUGAUGUCACUGCUUACGUCAUCAUCCUCUACUCCUGGGACCACAACCAUGCCUACAAAGCUGUAUUAACAGGGCCUUUAUUGUUAGCUAAACGCUUAGCAGUAAAUGUCCCCUCCCCCCAAAGUUGAUUUAUUGUGGAAUGUUUGCCUAGUCUUAUCUCCUUCACUCCCCUGCAGAGUUCUGUCUAAGUCACACAUUUCUAAGAGGGGCCUCUUUAUAAUGAGGCAGAUAGAGAGAAAUCGAUAACUAAAAUACAACUGUAGAACAAUACUAAACUUCUACAAUGAAUAUAGAUAUUGUUAAUCCGUAGUCUAAAACCCUAUACAUGUAAGGAGGGAGGGGUCUUAUAACCCCUCCCCUUCUAUUAAUAAAACAUAAGCAUAAUUAAUUAUUCUAAUACGUCAAACAUUUUGGUACAACCCUUUUCGUGACCCCUAGGUGAACCCGACACACUCAUCUCUGCCUUUUUCUGUGUUCUCGUCGAACCACAUCACAUUUUGAAGCGUAGGCUAUACCACACGUUUUGAAUUGUGAUACAGUGAAUUAUAAGUGAAAUAAUCUGUCUGUAAACAAUUGUUGGAAAAAUUACUUGUGUCAUGCACAAAGUAGAUGUCCUAACCGACUUGCCAAAACUAUAGUUUGUUAACAAUACAUUUGUGGAGUGGUUGAAAAACAAGUUUUAAUGACUCCAACUGUCACGUUCCUGACCUGUUUUUCCCUUUUCUUGUAUUUAUUUAGUUGGUCAGGGCGUGAGUUGGGGUGGGUUGUCUAUGUGUUAUUUUCUAUGUUGGGAUGUUUGUGUUCGGCCGGGUAUGAUUCUCAAUCAGAGACAGCUGUCAAUCGUUGUCCCUGAUUGAGAAUCAUACUUAGGCAGCCUGGGUUUCACGUGUGUUUUGUGGGUGUUUGUAUCUCGUGUCUGUAUUCGUGCCACACGGGACUGUUUGUCGGUUCGUUUCUCUUUUGUCAUUUUGUUUCGUUAGUGUUCCGUUUAUUUUGUUAAUAAAUAAUCAUGGACAUAAACCACUCCGCAUAUUGGUCUGAUCCUUCUCGCCUCUCCUCCUCGUCCGAGGAGGAGGAUUACGACGACCGUAACACCAACCUAAGUGUAUGUAAACUUCAGACUUCAACUGUAGGUUGUAAUCAGUGGUGUAAAGUACUUAAGUAAAAAAUACUUUAAAGUACUACUUAAGUAGUUUUUGUGGUGUCUGUACUUUAGUUUACUAUUUAUAUUUUUGACUACUUUUACUUUUACUUCACUACAUUCAACCCAAAACGAUGUACUUUUUACUCCAUACAUUUUCCCUGACACCCAAAAGUACAUGUUACAUUUUCAAUGCUGAGCGGGACAGGAAAAAGGUCCAAUUCACGCACUUAUCAAGAUAACAUAUCUGGUCAUCCCUACUGCCUCUGAUCUGGAAUAUUAAUUAAACACACAUGCUUCAUUUGUAAAUUAUGUGUUGGAAUGUGCCCCUGGCUAUCUGAAAAUAAAACAUUUAAAUAGAAUUAUGCCGUCUUGUUUGCUUAAGAUAAACAAUUAGAAAUUAUUUAUAAUUUUGAUACUUAACUAUAUUAUAGCAAUUACAUUUACUUUUGAUACUUAAGUAUAUUUAAAACCAAAUACUUUUAGACUUUUACUCAAGUAGUAUUUUCCUGGGUGACUCACUUUUAAUUGAGUCAUUUUCUAUUAAGGUAUCUUUACUUUUACUCAAGUAUGACAAUUGGAUACUUUUUGCAUCACUGGUUGUAAUAUGGAUAUUUUUUCCUGUUUUGGCUUUCCGAGUGAUUUUACCCACGCACCACUACUGCUCAUUGGUCACUGACCAAAUAUUUCUAUAACUAACCCAAGAUAGACAACAGCCUGUCGUUUCCAAUGGGAGCAAAUUCAUUAUAGUGGGUAGGCAGAGCAAAGCUAGCAAGAGGUUAUUGGCGCGUUCUAGCAUGUAUUUGCAUAUUUCCGUUGGGGAACGCCUACUCUGUGAAGUUGCGCAAUAACUACAUUUACCCUUACACUCCUAAAUAAUGCAAUUUUUAAAAAAUUGGGUAAAGGGUAAAGUCUACAAAACUUUAUCCACUCUGUUCGUAACAUAUUCUAGUUUUGGAAACAGAAAACCGUAUCAAAAUGUUUAAUCGAUGAGAAAAUGUGCAGAAUGUCAGCCAAAAUCCAUCUUGUUCCAUCAUCUCCCACUGCCGGACACUGGGCUUCCUCUCACCACCAUAUUUGGUAGUGAGUGGAAACGCCAACCGGAUGAUUCACAUUUACACAUCCUGUGAAAUAUCUGUCUCAUUAUUCUAUCUGUGCCAUUCUUUUUUUCUGUCUGUCUGUCUGUCUGUCUGUCUGUCUGUCCCCUUCCCUCCCUCUCUUUCCCACCCUUCCCUACUCCUCUAUUUCCUGCCUCCUUCUUCCUCUCCUUCUUCCUCUCAUACUCUCAUUGUCGGCUCAACCGUGAGAAAAUCUAAUCCCCCAUCAUGUCACUGAUGUGUGUCAUACAUGAUGCCUUUAUCUCUCAAGCACACAGAGAGUACGUCUGAGUCUGGGCUAUAUGAAACCAGCUGUGGAGGCCACCACAAUCAUCUCCUAUCCAUCUUCAUUUAAUGGAGUCCUUUAGCUGCACUAUUGUGGAAGGAUGUUCUGCAAUGCUAUUAGUGCUGCCUGAAUGCACAGAAAGGCUGAGUGAGGAGGGCCAUUAUCAAAGAAGAUGAAAGAAAUAUGGAAAGGAAGAGUUUCACAAGGUCAUUUGUGCUAGAAAUGUGAUUGGCAAGUACAGUAAAUAGCUUCUGAUGUUACUUUGGUUUUAGGUUUUAUUCAGUGUUAUUGUGUUUUUUGUAUGCUUUUUUUAAAGGUUGUGUGGUAGACUAUUGUAGACAAUCUUACAUUCUUGGUGGGAAAAGAUAAUACAUAACGUCUAAAAACCUUGACAUUGCAGACUACUGUAAAGUGAACCGUGACGCUAUACACCAACAGUUUCCCAGGCAUUCAUGAUACAUACCUAAGCACCACUCAAACAUGAAAUAACAGCUCUGCGACAAGUUGUCGAAUUGCUCUAGCCUAGCAUGCCUAUGAAAAAUAUUUUUCAUAACAUGUUCGACAUUGGGCAAAGGGUAACGGCUGCUGAGUUGUUGGUAUACACUACCGUUCAAAAGUUUGGGGUCACUUAGAAAUGUCUUUGUUUUUGAAAGAAAAGCAAUUUUUUUGUCCGUUAAAAUAACAUCAGAUUGAUCAGAAAUACAGUGUAGACAUUGUUAAUGUUGUAAAUGACUAUUGUAGCUGGAAACGGCUGAUUUUUAUUGGAAUAUCUACAUAGGCGUACAGAGGCCCAUUAUCAGCAACCAUCACUCCUGUGUUCCAAUGACACGUUGUGUUGGCUAAUCCAAGUUUAUCAUUUUAAAAAGGCUAAUUGAUCAUUUGAAAAACCUUUUUCAAUUAUGUUAGCACAGCUGAAAACCUUUGUGCUGAUUAAAGAAGCAAUAAAACUGGCCUUUAGACUAGUUGAGUAUCUGGAACAUCAGCUUUUGUGGGUUCGAGUUUCUUCUGAAACUCGUCAGUCUAUCCUUGUUCUGAGAAAUGAAGGCUAUUCCAUGUGAGAAAUUGCCAAGAAACUGAAGAUCUCAUACAACGCUGUGUAUCACUCCCUUCACAGAACAGUGUAAACUGGCUCUAACCAGAAUAGAAAGAGGAGUGGGGGGCCCUGGUGCACAACUGAGCAAGAGGACAAGUACAUUAGAGUGUCUAGUUUGAGAAACAGAUGCCUCACAAGUCCUCAACUGGCAGCUUCAUUAAAUAGUACCCACAAAACACCAGUCUCAACAUAAACAUUGAAGAGGCGACUCUGGGAUGCUGGCCUUCUAGACAGAGUUGCAAAGAAAAAGCCUUCUCUCAGACUGGCCAAUAAAAAGAAAAGAUUAAGAUGGGCAAAAGAACACAGACACUGGAUAGAGGAAGAUUGGAAAAAAGUCUAAGCUUGUGUCUAAGCUUGUGACCGGAUCACAAAGAAGAACAUUCGUGAGAGGCAGAAAAGAUGCUGGAGGAGUGCUUGACGCCACAUGUCAAGCAUGGUGGAGGCAAUGUGAUGGUCUGGGGAUGCUUUGGUGGUGGUAAAGUGGGAAAUUUGUACAGGGUUAAAGGGAUAUUGAAGAAGGAAGGCUAUCACUCCAUUUUGCAACGCCACGUCAAACCCUGUGGACGACAUUUAAUUUGAGCCAAUUUCCUCCUACAACAGGACAAUGACCCAAAGCACAGCUCCAAACUAUGCAAUAACUAUUUAGAGAAGAAGUAGGAGGUGCUAAAGGAAGCAUGGGGUGAAAUCUCUAAAGAUUACCUCAACAAAUUGACAACUAGAAUGCCAAAGGUCUGCAAGGCUGUAAUUGCUGCAAAUGGAGGAAAAUAACUCCCCACAAAACCCAAACGGAAAAUCACAACUUAUAUAUGAUCCCCAAUCAGAGACAACGAUAGACAGCUGCCUCUGAUUGGGAACCACACAUGGCAAAAACAACAAAGAAAUAGAAAACAGAGAAUCUCCCACCCGAGUCACACCCUGACCUAACCACACAUAGAGAAUAAAUGAGGAUCUCUAAGGUCAGGGCGGGACAGGUAGUGUAUGUAGUAGAGUUCAACCGAUUAUGAUUUUUCAACGCUGAUACCGAUUAUUGGAGGACCCAAAAAAGCCGAUAACGAUUAAUCGGCCGAUAAAAAAAAUAAAAAAUAAAUUUGUAAUAAUGACAAUUACAACAAUACUGAAUGAACACUUAUUUUAACUUAAUAUAAUACAUCAAUAAAAUCUCAAAUCUAUUUAGCCUCAAAUAAAUAAUGAAACAUGUUCAAUUGGGUUUAAAUAAUGCAAAAACAAAGUGUUGGAGAAGAAAGUAAAAGUGCAAUAUGUGCCAUGUAAGAAAGCUAACGUUAAAGUUCCUUGCUCAGAACAUGAGAACAUAUGAAAGCUGGUGGUUCUUUUUAACAUGAGUCUUCAAUAUUCCCAGGUAAGAAGUUUUAGGUUGUAGUUAUUAUAGGAAUUAUAGGACUAUUUCUCUCUAUACCAUUUGUAUUUCAUUAACCUUUGACUAUUGGAUGUUCUUAUAGGCACUUUAGUAUUGCCAGUGUAAGAGUAUAGCGUCCAUCCCUCUCCUCGCUCCUACCUGGGCUCGAACCAGGAACACAACGACAACAGCCACCCUCGAAGCAGCGUUACCCAUGCAGAGCAAGGGGAAUAACUACUCCAAGUCUCAGAGCGAGUGACGUUUGAAACGCUAUUAGCGCGCACCCUGCUAACUAGCUAGCCAUUUCACAUCGGUUACACCAGCCUAAUCUCGGGAGUUGAUAGGCUUGAAGCACAGCGAAGAGCUUCUGGCAAAACGCAGGAAAGUGCUGUUUGAAUGAAUGCUUACGAGCUUGCUGCUGCCUACCACCGCUCAGUCAAACUGCUCUAUCAAAUCAUAGACUUAGUUAUAACAUAAUAACACACAGAAAUACGAGCCUUAGGUCAUUAAUAUGGUCGAAUCCGGAAACUAUAAUCUCGAAAACAAAACGUUUAUUCUUUCAGUGAAAUACGGAACCGUUCCGUAUUUUAUCUAACGGGUGGCAUCCAUAAGUCUAAAUAUUCCUGUUACAUUGCACAACCUUCAAUGUUAUGUCAUAAUUACGUACAAUUCUGGCAAAUUAGGUGGCCCAAACUGUUGCAUAUACACUGACUAUGCGUGCAAUGAAUGCAAGAGAAGUAACACAAUUUCACCUGGUUAAUAUUGCCUGCUAACCUGGAUUUCUUUUAGCUAAAUAUGCAGGUUUAAAAAUGUAUACUUCUGUGUAUUGAUUUUAAGAAAGGCAUUGAUGUUUAUGGUUAGGUAAACAUUGGAGCAACGAUAUGCACCGCAUCGAUUAUAUGCAACGCAGGACACGCUAGAUAAACUAGUAAUAUCAUCAACCAUGUGUAGUUAACUAGUGAUUAUGAUUGAUUGAUUGAUUGUUUUUUAUAAAAUAAGUUUAAUGCUAGCUAGCAACUUACCUUGGCUUCUACUGCAUUCACGUAACAGGCAGGCUCCUCGUGGAGUGCAAUGUAAUCAGGUGGUUAGAGCGUUGGACUAGUUAACUGUAAGGUUGCGAGAUUGAAUCCCCGAGCUGACAAGGUAAAAAUCUGUCGUUCUGCCCCUGAAAGAGGCAGUUAACCCACCGUUCCUAGGCCGUCAUUGAAAAUAAGAAUGUGUUCUUAACUGAGUUGCCUAGUUAAAUAAAUAUUAAAUAAAGUUGUAAAAAAAUAAACAAUAAAAAAUAAUAAUAAUUAAUCGGCCAAAUCGGUGUCCAAAAAUGACGAUUAUCGAUUGUUAUGAAAACUUGAAAUCGGCCCUAAUUAAUCAGCCAUUCCGAUUAUUCGGUCGACCUCUAGUAUGUAGCGCGUAUUUACAGUAUACUGAACAAAAAUAUGAACGCAACACUUAAAGUGUUGGUUUCAUGAGCUGAAAUAAAAGACCCGACAAAUGUUCCAUACGCACAAAAAGCUUAUUUCUCUCAAACUUUGCCAAGAUAAUCCAUCCACCUGACAGGUUUGGUAUAUCAAGAAGCUGAUUAAACAGCAUGAUCAUUACACGGGAGCACCUUGUGCUGGGGACAAUGAAGGGCCACUAUAAUAUGUGGAGUUGUUACACAACACAAUGCCACACUGCCCUAUCAAGCAAAAAGGCAGUAACUGCUCAUAGAGUGGAACUGAGAAAAAUGGCUUUUAUUUACCGUGGUUUCACAGUAACUUUAUGCAGUUGCUGCUAACAUGACCCACAUUUUCUCCAAAACACAAUACAAUAGAGGCAGGAUACUUGUCCACAUGAUUAAUCAUGUAUUAAUGUAGCAAAAAUGACAUUAACUCAUUAUUGACCAAAUGAGCAGUUACUAACUUUUUGCUUGGUAGGGCAGCACUGAUGUCUCAAGUUUUGAGGGAGCGUGCAAUUGGCAUGCUGACAGCAGGAAUGUCCACCAGAGCAGUUGCCAGAGAAUUGAAUGUUAAUUUCUCUACCAUAAGCAGCCCUCCAACGUUGUUUUAGAGAAUUUGGCAGUACGUCCAACCGGCCUCACAACUGCAGACCACGUGUAACCACGCCGGCCCAGGACCUCCACAUUCGGCUUUUUCACCUGCGGGAUGGUCUGAGACAAGCCACCCGGACAGCUGAUAAUACUGUGGGUUUGUACGAAAAAUCUCUGCUCAAAUGGUCAGAAACCGUGUCAGGGAAGCUCACCUGCUUGCUUGCCCAGGGUCUUGACUUGACUGCAGUUUGGCGUCAUAACCGACUUCAGUGGGCAAAUGCUCACCUUCCGUGGCCACUGGCACGCUGGAGACGUGUGCUCUUCACAGAUUAAUCCCGGUUUCAACUUUACCAGGCAGAUGGCAGACAGCGUGUAUGGCUUCGGGUGGGCGUGCGGUUUGCUGAUGUCAACGUUGUAAACAGAGUGCCCCAUUUUUUGAAAUAUUUUUUUAUUACACCUUUAUUUAGCCAGGUAGGCUAGUUGAGAACAAGUUCUCAUUUACAACUGCGACCUGGCCAAGAUAAAGCACAGCAGUUCGACACAUACAACAACACAGAGUUACACAUGGAAUAAACAAACAUACAGUAGAAAAAAAGAAAAAUCUAUAUACAGUGAGUGCAAAUGGGGUAAAAUAAGGGAGGUAAGGCAAUAAAUAGGCCAUUGUGGCGGAGUAAUUACAAUAUAUCAAUUAGACACUGGAAUGGUAGAUGUGCAGAAGAUGAAUGUGCAAGUAGAGAUACUGGGGUGCAAAGGAGCAAGAUAAAUAAAUACAGUAUGGGGAUGAGGUAGUUGGAUGGGCUGUUUACAGAUGGGCUAUGUACAGGUGCAGUGCUCUGUGAGCAGCUCUGAUAGCUGGUGCUUAAAGCUAGUGAGGGAGAUAUGGGUCUCCAGCUUCAGUGAUUUUUGCAGUUCGUUCCAGUCAUUGGCAGCAGAGAACUGGAAGGAAAGGUGGCCAAAGGAGGAAUUGGCUUUGGGGGUGACCAGUGAGAUGUACUAGCUGGAGCGCGUGCUACGGGUGGGUGCUGCUAUGGUGACCAGUGAGCUGAGAUAAGGCGGGGCUUUACCUAGCAGAGACUUGUAGAUGACCUGGAGCCAGUGGGUUUGGCGACGAGCAUGAAGCGAGAGCCAGCCAACGAGAGAGUACAGGUCGCAGUGGUGGGUAUUAUAUGGGGCUUUGGUGACAAAACGGAUGGCACUGUGAUAGACUGCAUCCAAUUUGUUGAGUAGAGUGUUGGAGGCUAUUUUAUAGAUGACAUCGCCGAAGUCGAGGAUCGGUAGGAUGGUCAGUUUUACGAGGGUAUGUUUGGCAGCAUGAGUGAAGGAUGCUUUGUUGCAAAAUAGGAAGCCAAUUCUAGAUUUGUUUUGGAUUGGAGAUGUUUCAUGUGAGUAUGGAAGGAGAGUUUACAGUCUAGCCAGACACCUAGGUAUUUGUAGUUGUCCACAUUCUAAGUCGGAACCCAUGGUGGCGGUGGGGUUGUGGUAAGGGCAGGCAUAAGCGACAGACAACGAAUACAAUUGCAAUUUAUCAAUUGCAAUUUGAAUGCACAGAGAUACCUUGACAAGAUCCUGAGGCCCAUUGUCGUGCCAUUCAUCGUCUGCCACCACCUCAUAUUUCAGCAUGAUAAUGCACGGCCUCAUGUCGCAAGGAUCUGUACACAAUUUCUGGAAGCUGAAAACGUUCCAGUUCUUCAGUGGCCUGCAUACUCACCAGACAUGUGUACGACAGCAUGUUCCAGUUCCUGCCAAUAUCCAGCAAUUGAAGAGGAGUAGAACAACAUUCCACAGUCCACAAUCAACAGUCUGAUCAAGUAUAUGUGAAGGAGAUGUGUCGUGCUGCAUGAGGCAAAUGGCCCGACCUUUUUUGUUGUUGUUGGUAUCUGUUACCAACAAAUGCAUAUUUGUAUUCCCAGUCAUGUGAAAUCCAUAGAUUAGGAUCCUAAUGAAUUGUAUUUCAAUUGACUGAUUUCCUUGUAUGAGCUAUAACUCAGUAAAUUCUUUGAAAUUGUUGCAUUUUGCAUUUAUAUCCUUGUUCAGUGUACUUCAAAUGGUUUAGCUCAAACACAACGUUAGCUAAAUAAACCUAGCAUAUUAAUGCCGGAGACCCGGGCCCUUGCUGAGUGACAUGGCUGUGGACAGAGAUGAUUGGUGUCACAGGGGAGUGUCGACAAGGUCUGACAAACUGGGCAGCUACCACAACAAAUCACUGUUCUCUCCAAGCAUAGUCGAUAUAAUGAGCCUAGACCCUGGGGUACCUGUGUGUGGGCCGCGUGGUGUGUUUGCUGUGUGUACAGUACAUGCUAUUGUGUGUGUGUGUGUGUGAGCCAUGUGUGUUUGUGUGUGGUACAUGCUAUUGGAAUAAGGGAGGAGGAGUAGGAAGAGGAUUAGGAGGAACAAGGGAGAAUCCCCUAGAGAACAUUAUUGAUUACCAUUGGCAUGCUUCUCUCUUUCUCUCCCUCCCCUCUCUCUCUUUCCUUCUUUCCCUCCCUCGCUCUCUUUCCUUGUCUUCCUGUCUCUCUCUCCAUCUUUCUUCCUCGCUACGUCUUUCUAACAGCCACAGUUUACUUAUAUGGUUUUGCAGGGGCUGUGUUGUUUUGUUUGGUGCCGUGCUGUGCUGUGCUCCAGAGAGAAUCGUACUCCGCCUUCUGUAAACCAUGCUUGCUGGAGCUCUUCCCAUGUGCAUCAAUGCAAGCAGCCGUAGCACUCGGUGGAAUUUCAAAAUGCACCAGAGGCUUGACACAUUACAUUAUGCACCACCGCUGUAUACUUGUGUUCAGAGAAGCUGAAAUGGUCUAACCACACGGACACCGUAGUGAAGAAGGCACGACAGCGACUCUUUAACCUCAGGGUGCUGAGGAAAUUUGGCCUGUCCCCCGAGGGCUCUCACAGUGUUCUACAGGAGCACCAUCAAGAGCAUACUGUCAGGCUGCAUCACAGCCUGGUACGGCAACUCCGCCGUCGCGGACCGCAAGGCUCUUCACAGGGCAAUACGUGCAGUCAAACGCACCAUUGGGUGCACAGUGCCUGCCCAACAGGACACCUACAACACCAGGUGUCACAGGAAGGCCAAGAAGAUCAUCAGGGACCCCAGCCACCUAAGCCACGCCCUGUUCUCCCCGCUUCAAACACUCAGACGCAGGCAGUACAGGAGCAUCAUGGCAAAAACCGACUGGCCAAUAGUUUCCACCCUCAGACCAUCAGACGGCUGAAUAGCCACCACUAGUCAGCUACCUGCCCCCUCCCCCCUGCUCCUCCCCCCUGCUCCUCCCCCAUGGACACCCUCAACUCUCACUUAUCUUUCCUGCUACUCCCCCCAUGGACAUUCUUUCUCCUCUCCGCCCCAACGGAUAUUACUCUGCCCCCACUCCAACGACAUUCAUCACUAUUGCUGCUGUUAAUAUUUAUAUAUUACUUUUUGGUUUUAUUUCACUCAAUGAUCAUGCUUCUGCUCCCCCUAUGGUCAUUCCACCUCACCCCCUCAAAUGUCUUUACUCUGCCUCCACCCCAAUGGACAUUUAUUUAUUCAUCACUGCCUCAGUUGCUAUUAUGAAUAUAGUGCUAUUUCUAUAGUUUUUUUUUUAAAUGACCAUUUUCAUUAUUUUAUUUCACUAGUUCUGCAUGUUGGAGCUCGAAGCCAAAGAUUUUCACUGUACGCCACAAUCACACCUGCAACCCUGUGACUAUUAAACAAUCUGAAUCAGUUUCAAACCGCCACUUGGCUAUACUCUGGGGGGAAAACGAUGGUCUCAAGAUGCAAUGCAUCCUCCUUUCCCUGGAUUGCGCUCUUGUUAAUGACAAGCGUUUAGAUUUAGAUUGAACUGGGACCUCUGUUUUGAAUGAACCGCCGCCUGAGUGAUAAAUUGCAUUUUAUGUUCGCCAAGGUCUCAAAACACUUUACAUUGUAUAUAGGGUAAAUUACCCCAUCCACCCGCCAAUGUGUAGCACCCACCGGAAUACUCGCAGCACGUGGGCUAUCACGGUGGAGAAUGAGGAGUAAUGGUGUCUGUUUGGAAGCUAGGGAUGAUAACAUGGCCAUGGUGGUGAAGAGGCUAGCUGCUAGCCGGGAGCUCUCUAUUCACCUUGAAGGGGAAACAUUCUAGUAUUGGGGAUGAGAGCAUCUUAAUAUUCAAGGCCCUUUAGCUUUUCAAGCCAGUAGUAGGAGGCUGUAGACAAGCUCGCUAGCUUGCUAGCACUACCAGGAUAUAUUCAAGAGCUCCACCUGUCCUCAGGCUGUGUAUCAGAUGCUCUCCUGUGUGCCCCCAUUUUUUUUUGGGGGGGGGGGGGUGAUAAAAAUGCAUGACUGAUAGUUUGCCUCUAAGAGUAUUAUUAUUUAUGAACCCUGGCUCUACUCUACAAGGAGAUACUGUAUAUUACUCUGCAACAACUGCAGAGUCCAUAUAGUCAUCGUUUUUGGUCUAUUCAAAUGCUGAGAAAGCAUUACUGGUUUUACUGCUUUCUUCUGUGAUAAAUUACCGCCACCGUUUUUUUGUAUGAUGAAACCAAAUCACAUCCUGAAACAUGUGCUCCUUUGAUGCUUUCUUACAUUGCCUGGGAAUAGGGAGUGUUUAAGUUCCAAUAUCUGAGACCUGGAUAUAAAUGACAGAUGUACCCACUAGCACAACAAACCAUAAAUGCAUACCGAAAGCAUUUUCCCUUUUAUCUAUUCUAACUCCCACAUGUACAAACAGAUUGUGGGAGAUGUGAUAGAGCGGAGGGACACAUUUGGCAGAUAAUACAUACAGCAUUACUGUGGGGACUCCUGGAUAGUGAUCUAUAACAUCUGGAGUAUAGAGAUGAUGUUAUGAAUACUGAUAUGUAAGAAGUUACAAAUCAGUAGCCUGGUCCCAGAUCUGAUUGUGCUGUCUUGCCAACUCCUAUGGUCAUUGUCAUAUAGGAGUUGGCAAGACCAAACAAAUAGAUCAUGGGAACAGGGUAAAAAAAACUGUUGUUUGGCACCAGUUUUAGCUAUAGACACUCUUUCAACCCACUUAACAAAGAAUGAACAAUCUGCUUAGACUCACUAAUUGUAUUUAGCCUCUAUUUAACUAGGCAAGUCAGUUAAGAACAAAUUCUUAUUUACAAUGACGGCCUACUCCGGCCAAACCCCGACGACGCUGGGCCAAUUGUGCGCCGCCCCUAUGGGACUCCCAAUCACAGCCUGGAUGUGAUACAGCCUGGAUUUGAAGCUGGUAUUAUAGUGACACCUCUAGCACUGAGAUGUAGUGCCUUAGACCACUGCACCACUCGGGAGCCCAAUCAUUUGUCUUAGUUUCGUGUCGAACCAACUCGCUGCUAGUGAGAGAUUCAAAAGGACGAGUCCCUUACUGAGUUGAUGAAUUAGUCCAAUUAAUCAGGGGUAAUUAUGCAGAUGCAUAAUUACUGAACACCUUUGCAAUAUUUUCCAUUCCGAAAAUGGAAUAAACAAUUUGUUUUAUUACACAUCUAAAUCUGAUUACAAAUGUACUGGGUUUCUCUUAACGUUACAGAACUGCUGAGAUGUAGCCUACAGUCUUUAAGUAUGGUGAAUUGUUCUUAGCUGCUUACAAGAAACGACUUCCGGUGAUCAACAACUUCAACGUUUGUUACGAACGAUGAGGAAAAAUGUGAGGUGUCAGGCGCAGAGAGCAAAGAUAUGGGGGAAAAAACACUCUUUAAUGUCCAACCAGAAGAACAACUGGUAACGUCAAAACAUAGGCGUAAAAAUCCACUCGAAUACAGUACACACUGGAAAAAUAAAUCCAGACAGUGGAAAACCCCAAUAAUACGAACAACCUCAUACAAAAACAGAAAGACAAGCCCGCACAAACAGAAGCGGGCUAAACGAACUUAAAUAGCACCACCCUAACAACCAAACAAUGAACAGGUGAAAACAAUUAGACAAAACCAAAUGAAAAGGAAAAAGGGAUCGGUGGCAGCUAGUAGACCGGCGACGACGACCGCCGAGCACCACUCGAACAGGAAGGGGAGCCACCUUCGGUAAUGCUCGUUACAACGUUUCAUCAAAUUCAGAUUGAACCUGGGCGAACUUGAUGUGGGACCCAACCUGUCCCGAAUUGAAUAGUCAAUAAAAACCUUGAUGAUAUU
Molecule: long non-coding RNA, 14886 nt
Organism: Salvelinus fontinalis (brook trout)
Lineage: Eukaryota; Metazoa; Chordata; Actinopteri; Salmoniformes; Salmonidae
Exons: 3
Source: RefSeq, a predicted model, not a curated record